RNAcentral lists this transfer RNA (90 nucleotides) under Neobacillus ginsengisoli. RNAcentral's name for it is "tRNA-Asn". Lineage: Bacteria; Bacillati; Bacillota; Bacilli; Caryophanales; Bacillaceae. The record is from RNAcentral.
GAAAAAGAAAAGGAGGGCUGAAAAUGCACCCCUGUUAAGGGUGUUGGUCGCUAAAGCGGCGCGAGGGUUUAAAUCUCUCCUUCUCCUCCA